RNAcentral lists this ribosomal RNA (253 nucleotides) under uncultured bacterium. RNAcentral describes it as "partial 16S ribosomal RNA". It matches the Rfam family "Bacterial small subunit ribosomal RNA", at positions 524 to 776 of the family's 1533-position model. The record is from RNAcentral.
UACGGGGGGGGCAAGCGUUGUUCGGAAUUACUGGGCGUAAAGGGCUCGUAGGCGGCCAACUAAGUCAGACGUGAAAUCCCUCGGCUCAACCGGGGAACUGCGUCUGAUACUGGAUGGCUUGAAUCCGGAAGAGGGAUGCGGAAUUCCUGGUGUAGCGGUGAAAUGCGCAGAUAUCAGGAGGAACACCGGUGGCGAAGGCGGCUUUCUGGGCCUUACCUGACGCUGAGGAGCGAAAGCUGGGGGAGCAAACAGG